RNAcentral lists this ribosomal RNA (194 nucleotides) under Ruminococcus sp. Its description in RNAcentral is "partial 16S ribosomal RNA". The stretch from base 55 to 194 matches the Rfam family "Bacterial small subunit ribosomal RNA", at positions 100 to 240 of the family's 1533-position model. The record is from RNAcentral. Lineage: Bacteria; Bacillati; Bacillota; Clostridia; Eubacteriales; Oscillospiraceae.
GAGCGAAGCACUUAGGAAAGAUUCUUCGGAUGAUUUCCUAUUUGACUGAGCGGCGGACGGGUGAGUAACGCGUGGGUAACCUGCCUCAUACAGGGGGAUAACAGUUAGAAAUGACUGCUAAUACCGCAUAAGACCACAGCACCGCAUGGUGNACGGGUAAAAACUCCGGUGGUAUGAGAUGGACCCCCGUCUGA